UACGGGGGGGGCAAGCGUCGUUCGGAAUUACUGGGCGUAAAGGGCUCGUAGGCGGCCAACUAAGUCAGACGUGAAAUCCCUCGGCUUAACCGGGGAACUGCGUCUGAUACUGGAUGGCUGGAGGUUGGGAGAGGGAUGCGGAAUUCCAGGUGUAGCGGUGAAAUGCGUAGAUAUCCGGAGGAACACCGGUGGCGAAGGCGGCUUCCUGGACCGAUUACUGACGCUGAGGCGCGAAAGCUAGGGGAGCAAACGGG
RNAcentral lists this ribosomal RNA (254 nucleotides) under uncultured bacterium. RNAcentral's name for it is "partial 16S ribosomal RNA". It matches the Rfam family "Bacterial small subunit ribosomal RNA", at positions 524 to 776 of the family's 1533-position model. The record is from RNAcentral.